CAAAUAACCAAUUAAUCACUGCAUCUGCUUGAAACUCCCCUUAGAGGCUUGCAUUGUCUGGGCCAAUUGCCCUUUAAGUGUUUCUCUUUAUCCCGAAGCACUUAUGAUUUCAUUUGAUCUGAAUCUAAUUAGACACAGAAGAAUGUGAAAAGCAAGUCAUUAAGACAAUGGAACACAAUUCUCAACACUGAAUUUGAUAGCAGCACCCACAACCAAAUUACUCAAGGAAUUUCAAAGAGAAUGAAAAACCCCACAUGCUGUGUGACAGGGAUCAUAUUUUCAAAGCAAAGCAUGCAUGCAGAUUUGAUUUUUGUGUAUUAGAAUAUUUUCAAUUGAUCUGAAGGAUAAAGGAAGACUGUCCUAGAGAACUCGUGCAGUUUGAGGAUACUGGAGGAUAGUGGAGGAACCUGUGGGAGGUGGUUCAGCUCCGGCUCCGGCUGGACCCAUGUAGAUACACCAGCAGAGCCCUCUUGUGGACAUCCGACGUGUAGCGGCAGCAGGAGGGAGGGUUGCGCUUGAGCUGCAGAAACUACUGCAGACCUGAAAACCUGAACAGCCUUGAGUGCUUGCACAGAGCCUGGAGACUCUCUGUCACUGUCUGUUCACUGCUGUUUGCUCCUGAUUGCCAUAAAGAGGACUUUUCUGCUGAAGAUGAAAAGGACACCAGGCUACCAACCAACAGAUGUCAUUCACAUUUUCUGAGUACCAAAAUAUGGAUAAGUAGAUUGUGCCUAGCAGGUAUUAAUU
Molecule: long non-coding RNA, 747 nt
Filed under: Chrysolophus pictus (golden pheasant)
Lineage: Eukaryota; Metazoa; Chordata; Aves; Galliformes; Phasianidae
Description: lncRNA (ENSCPIG00010002692.1)
Source: RNAcentral